GACGAAUCGUGCGACCGUUGUUCGGAUUCACUGGGCUUAAAGGGCGCGUAGGCGGCUCGCCAAGUCAGGGGUGAAAUCUUUCGGCUCAACCGGAAAAGUGCUUCUGAUACUGGCGGGCUGGAGGAGGGUAGGGGCGGAUGGAACUUCCGGUGGAGCGGUGAAAUGCGUAGAUAUCAGGAGGAACACCUGUGGUGUAGACAGCUUACUGGACCAUUUCUGACGCUGAGACACGAAAGCGUGGGUAGCAAACAGG
This 253-nucleotide ribosomal RNA is filed under the name uncultured bacterium. RNAcentral's name for it is "partial 16S ribosomal RNA". It matches the Rfam family "Bacterial small subunit ribosomal RNA", at positions 524 to 776 of the family's 1533-position model. The record is from RNAcentral.